UAAAUACUAAAUAAAAAACUUCUAAUUAGAAAAAAGGUAUCCUUUCUUCAACACGACGCACUUCGAACUUCAAAUUUACACUCGGAUCCAUUUUCCCUUUCAAUUUCAAAACCUCAAAUUCAAUCGAACAAUAACCCAAAACCUGGCUCCACACAUCUGGAAACGCCUAUUCCCACCAAGAACCAGAAUUAGACAAUUCCCUAUAAUCCCAAACAUCACUAUACGACGCCGCUUCUAUCCCAAAAUGAGUAUCAACGUUUUCAAAUUAUGCUCUGGCCUUAAAGUCCUUGGCUACUUAAUGAUCCUUCUCGUCGCCGGAAUCGUCGCCCUUUCUUACUACGCCGUCGUUAUUAUUACAUGGGGCCCACAGUUACUUCGCGGUGGCGGUCACUCCUUUUUAGCUUUUUCAUUGAUUAUACUGUUUCACAUUCUGCUUGUCAUGUUACUUUGGAGCUAUUUUAGAGUAGUAUUUAAGGACCCGGGUUCUGUACCCGAGAACUGGAGGCAAGAGAAUUUGGAGGGAGGCGGUAGUUGCAUCAACGAGUCAGACUGUGGGGCGCCUGAGGCGUCGGGUUCGGCAUCAGUAUGGGCUGCUUCUGAAGGGUCGGAUAGGUUAGCGGCUUCGGGUUAUUGUACUCACUGCAAGAACGGCAAGCCGCCACGUUGUCAUCAUUGUUCUGUUUGUCAAAGAUGUGUUCUUAAGAUGGAUCAUCAUUGUGUUUGGGUGGUAAAUUGUGUUGGAGCUCGUAACUACAAGUUUUUUCUUCUUUUCCUGCUUUACACAUUUCUGGAGACAACAAUGGAUACUCUAGUACUCUUGCCUAGUUUUAUCAAGUUCUUUGAUGAAGCCAAGGAUCAUUCUACCUCCCCUAGCAAGUUAGCAGUAAUUUUUAUGGCUUUUGUUCUUAAUUUGGCUUUUGCCCUCAGUCUUCUUUGUUUCAUAGUUAUGCACGCAUCUCUUCUGUCCAGCAACACCACAUCCGUAGAGGUAUAUGAGAAGAAAGGAGCAGUUGCGUGGAAGUAUGAUCUAGGCAGGAAGAAGAAUUUUGAACAGGUAUUUGGUAAGAAGAAGGCAUUUUGGUUGCUUCCUAUGUUCUCCAAGGAGGAUGUAGACAAUAUUCCUGCACUUCAUGGCAUAGAUUUUCCUACACGCUCUGAUGUUGAGGCUUGAAUCUUGGUGACCAUGCAAAACUCUCAUUUUAUUUGUCGCAAUUUGCAGUUAUGUAUCCUUGGAACAUUCUUUCACUAUUUGGUUAACAGAGAGUGGACAUCUUAAAAGGAGCCAAAUAGUUACAGUUAUCAAAGAGAACUUGCGUCAUUGGAUGACAAACUGAUUGAUUAACUAUUUCAGUGACAUGACGUUACAAAACUUAACUGUAUUUGCUUUUUCCGGAUUGGACGGCUAUUUUUGUGCCAUUAUCAACUUAUGUGGUCUCUAUCAGUGAAGAAUAUGCAAUGGCAAUGCACUAUGUUGUAAUCCUAAACUCAUAUCCAUUUGCGCAAUUUUUGCUGGGCAACUGAUAAAA
This is an RNA transcript of Ricinus communis (castor bean), 1526 nucleotides long. It is a transcript of the gene named probable protein S-acyltransferase 12, with no coding region annotated. NCBI's taxonomy places the organism in Eukaryota, Viridiplantae, Streptophyta, Magnoliopsida, Malpighiales, Euphorbiaceae. The transcript is spliced from 8 exons. The record is from RefSeq and is a predicted model, not a curated record.